Molecule: ribosomal RNA, 370 nt
Filed under: uncultured bacterium
Lineage: Bacteria
Description: bacterial SSU rRNA
Rfam family: Bacterial small subunit ribosomal RNA
Source: RNAcentral
GUAGUCCACGCCGUAAACGAUGCUAACUCGUUUUUGGGGUUUCGGCUUCAGAGACUAAGCGAAAGUGAUAAGUUAGCCACCUGGGGAGUACGUUCGCAAGAAUGAAACUCAAAGGAAUUGACGGGGGCCCGCACAAGCGGUGGAUUAUGUGGUUUAAUUCGAUGAUACGCGAGGAACCUUACCAAGACUUAAAUGGGAAAUGACAGAUUUAGAAAUAGAUCCUUCUUCGGACAUUUUUCAAGGUGCUGCAUGGUUGUCGUCAGCUCGUGCCGUGAGGUGUUAGGUUAAGUCCUGCAACGAGCGCAACCCCUGUCACUAGUUGCUACCAUUAAGUUGAGGACUCUAGUGAGACUGCCUACGCAAGUAGAGA